UAUUAAAAUUAUGUAGAGUUAUAUUAAAAAAGAAGUGUCUGUGGUGGCUCCAGAGGAAACAGUAGUACAAGGGUGAAGAGAAAAGAUAUGUUAAUGCCUAGAGAGUGCCAGAUGUGUGAUUUCAUUCAGAUGAAGAGGAGGAACUAACCUAAAUAUAAGGUACCAGGAAAAUGGGGAACUGAACUGGAGCCAUAAAAUAUUCUGAUAAAGAAAACUUGGUGCUUGUGAGUAUUUAAGUGUGAGACUAUCAGUGAGUAAAGUCAGUCCAGUCAGAUUUAUUUUUAAAUAAAUACUGGAUUUUUUUUCCAUGAUUUUCCAACAACCAAGUUAAAAUCUUAAUUUCCAAGUGCUUGGAGGGCCACAGAAUUGACUGAAAACUGGGACAUUAUGGAAGGAGGCUGCAGGAAUUAUCCUCCAACUUGAUAAAACCUGGAGCAGCUUCAGUGGCCCUUUAGCACUUGCAGAAGGGCACAAAUAAGGCUUGAAGGGAACUCUGAUUUGGGCCAGGCAAGAAUUUAUCUGGGAUUGGAGGAAUCCUCAUGGAAUUAUCCAGCAGGACACAGUGAAGAACGUUUUAGUGGAGUUAUUGAAGGUGAUGGACCUGACUCAUAAGGGCUGAAACUUGUGUCUAGCAAGAAGUUAAACACUUGAAAUGAAAGAUUGUUUAUAGGAGUAAAGAAAAUACCUGCAGAACUUCCCUUUCAGGUGUCUGUGGGUGUGUCUGACAGUUCACACAUUUGCCAGAUUCAUCUCCAUCAAGAUGAUUAAUUACAGAGUUUUGAUGAAUUGUAGUGUGGCCAGAGAUGGUAAGUCUUGGUAAAUAUUACCAAAUUUGUGAGGGGUUUCAUUGUUAUUAGCCUAAAAGUAUUAAGAGUUCACAUU
This 882-nucleotide long non-coding RNA is filed under the name Manacus vitellinus (golden-collared manakin). Its description in RNAcentral is "lncRNA (ENSMVIG00005006747.1)". Lineage: Eukaryota; Metazoa; Chordata; Aves; Passeriformes; Pipridae. The record is from RNAcentral.